UGAAAGGCCAGAAGCCUUCCCUUAUGGGAGACCGUUGUCUGAUGUACUAGACCAGACUCUUAGAUUGAACUUUGAUUGUGUAAUAAAUCUGUUCUCUCUUUCAAACAGGUCUGGUACAGGGAAACCUGAUAAUCCUGCAUGUAACAUAUACACUGGGGAAGAAGCAGACCCUGUAAACCCCUCCUGCCAGCUCUGCACUGAGGAGGCAACGGGCUCAUUUCUGCUGCGGAGGCUAGCCUCUGCAACGUGAGUAAAUUGAAUAUAACCGUAUAAUGGUCGUGUCAUUUACGCAAAAGACCGAGGAGCACCAGCUGGAACGGAGGGAAUGAGAGUGCUGCCAACCUCCUUCAGGAUGAACGCUCCUCAGAGUCCUUGAUUUGGUCCUGGAGUGCAAUGCAGACCGAGGGCCUGCUCUCCGACGAGCGUGCUGCACUCCCUGCCCGUCUGCAGGGCCCAUUAGUGGUAAUGAGGUGGCUGUCUGCAGCCUCUCCCCGUGCCCGCAAAAGGAAAAUCAAACCCUUUCCUCUGUAUGGUCCCCACAGUGGAUUCAGUAACUGUAGACAGGCACACUUUCAGAGUGGAGAUUCCCAGAUUUUACUGCGUGAAGCCACUAAAAUAAAAACUGCAAGCGUUUGUCUCAAGUCAAAAGACGUGGCAUAA
RNAcentral lists this long non-coding RNA (660 nucleotides) under Anser brachyrhynchus (Pink-footed goose). Its description in RNAcentral is "lncRNA (ENSABRG00000005137.1)". The record is from RNAcentral. Lineage: Eukaryota; Metazoa; Chordata; Aves; Anseriformes; Anatidae.